RNAcentral lists this ribosomal RNA (428 nucleotides) under uncultured bacterium. Its description in RNAcentral is "partial 16S ribosomal RNA". It matches the Rfam family "Bacterial small subunit ribosomal RNA", at positions 354 to 796 of the family's 1533-position model. The record is from RNAcentral.
GUGGGGAAUAUUGGGCAAUGGGCGAAAGCCUGACCCAGCAACGCCGCGUGAAGGAAGAAGGCCUUCGGGUUGUAAACUUCUUUUAUGAGGGACGAAGGACGUGACGGUACCUCAUGAAUAAGCCACGGCUAACUACGUGCCAGCAGCCGCGGUAAUACGUAGGUGGCAAGCGUUGUCCGGAUUUACUGGGUGUAAAGGGCGCGUAGGCGGACUGGCAAGUCAGAUGUGAAAUCCAUGGGCUCAACUCAUGAACUGCAUUUGAAACUGUUGGUCUUGAGUGUCGGAGAGGCAAGCGGAAUUCCUAGUGUAGCGGUGAAAUGCGUAGAUAUUAGGAGGAACACCAGUGGCGAAGGCGGCUUGCUGGACGAUAACUGACGCUGAGGCGCGAAAGCGUGGGGAGCAAACAGGAUUAGAAACCCUUGUAGUCC